RNAcentral lists this ribosomal RNA (647 nucleotides) under uncultured bacterium. Its description in RNAcentral is "bacterial SSU rRNA". It matches the Rfam family "Bacterial small subunit ribosomal RNA", at positions 8 to 644 of the family's 1533-position model. The record is from RNAcentral.
AGGGUUUGAUCAUGGCUCAGAUUGAACGCUGGCGGUAUGCUUAACACAUGCAAGUCGAACGGAAACGAUACUAGCUUGCUAGUAGGCGUCGAGUGGCGGACGGGUGAGUAACGCGUAGGAAUCUACCUAGUAGCGGGGGAUAGCCCGGAGAAAUCCGGAUUAAUACCGCAUAAUCUCUAUGGAGAAAAGGGGCCCUCUUCUUGAAAGGUUUCGCUAUUAGAUGAGCCUGCGUAAGAUUAGCCUGUUGGUGAGGUAAAAGCUCACCAAGGCGACGAUCUUUAGCUGGUCUGAGAGGAUGAUCAGCCACACUGGGACUGAGACACGGCCCAGAUUCCUACGGGAGGCAGCAGUGGGGAAUAUUGGACAAUGGGCGCAAGCCUGAUCCAGCAAUACCGCGUGUGUGAAGAAGGCCUGAGGGUUGUAAAGCACUUUCAAUUGUGAAGAAAAGUUAAAGGUUAAUACCCUUUAGCCUUGACGUUAACUUUAGAAGAAGCACCGGCUAACUCCGUGCCAGCAGCCGCGGUAAUACGGAGGGUGCAAGCGUUAAUCGGAAUUACUGGGCGUAAAGCGUGCGUAGGUGGUUUGUUAAGUCAGAUGUGAAAGCCCCGGGCUCAACCUGGGAACUGCAUUUGAAACUGGCAAACUAG